AUGACACCCCCACCAGGUCACACACCCCUUGCAAAUGUCAGGGCCCCUCUAACCUGCCUCCUCAUUACCAAGUUUGGGGAGGAUUUGGAGGUGCACUCAAAUUUGGGCUUUGAGCCCAGAAAAUUGGGAUGGGGUCCCUGUGUUGGGGUGACCUGUUAUCUUGCAUGGGGAGUCCCUGAGCAGAGCACCCCAUUAUCCCACAUGGGGAGCUGUUCUGGGCUCAGUGCCGGUGGUGCUGGGGAGGAAACCCCUGGUCUUAGAGCGAGGGGAUUCCACCGCCCUACCCCCACCUCCACCUGGGGUCAGGCCCACACAGAAGCGGACCCUGGUGCCAGAGCUGUCUACAGGUGUGGGGGGGAAAUCGCUUCCCCUUGGUCCCCCCCCCCUUCCCCUCCCAUGGGGCAUUUGUGUAUAAAAGAAACAUUGGAUAAACAAUCCUCAACUUUGUGGCUAAAUAAAAACUUGCAAAAAAAAAAAAAGUGCCCCAUUGACCUCCUGGUGUCUGUAAGUGGGACAUGGGCCAUCAGGGAGCGCCGGCUCCAAUCUGGCCACAGGGCGGAGAGGAGUGGGGGGGAGGCGCUUUCCACUCUAGGGGGCACCAGCUCCAAUCCAGUCCCCUGCUACAGCGCUUCAUCGCCCCCCUCCACAGCCACAGGCGAGGGGCUGAGCAGGCCCCGGACUGGCUGCCUCCAAAGGCAGGCAGGCGGCACAUUGCUGGGGCUGGGGAGGGGAGGGGCGUGCUCUGGCACUGCUGCUGUGGAGGCCAGUGAGGUGCUGGGCAGCCUGGUCCCACCAAUCCUGCCUCCGGGGACAUGUCUAUGCUCCCAGCCCCCAGGGCACUGGGGAGCUGCUUUGCACUGCAACAGCCCAGAGGCCUUCAAGGGGUGCCAACAUUGUGGUUCAAAACUAAGGGCCUGUUUUCAUGCCCCCCCCCCCCCCCAGAUAUUGUUAUUAUUUGAGGUCGCAGCAUGUAGCAAUAAGAAGCCGUACUCACCCCUCUCUACUCGCCAGGGGCAUUGCUUGCUGCUUUUCGCAGCACUCAGCAACUCCGGAGCUGCUUGUACAGAGAUGAAAAAAUAA
Molecule: long non-coding RNA, 1080 nt
Filed under: Chrysemys picta bellii (western painted turtle)
Lineage: Eukaryota; Metazoa; Chordata; Testudines; Emydidae
Description: lncRNA (ENSCPBG00000022442.1)
Source: RNAcentral